This 291-nucleotide ribosomal RNA is filed under the name uncultured bacterium. Its description in RNAcentral is "partial 16S ribosomal RNA". It matches the Rfam family "Bacterial small subunit ribosomal RNA", at positions 505 to 796 of the family's 1533-position model. The record is from RNAcentral.
GUGUCAGCAGCCGCGGUAAUACGGGGGGUGCGAGCGUUGUCCGGAUUCACUGGGCGUAAAGGGCGCGUAGGCGGCCGCAUCAGUCCGACUUUUAAGAGCGGGGCUCACCCCCGUGGGGGGUCGGGGACGGUGCGGCUGGGGCGCGGCAGAGGGGUGCGGAAUGCCGGGUGUAGUGGUGAAAUGCGUAGAGAUCCGGCGGAACACCGGUGGUGGAAGCGGCACCCUGGGCCGAGGCCGACGCUGAGGCGCGAGAGCGUGGGGAGCGAACCGGAUUAGAUACCCGGGUAGUCC